RNAcentral lists this long non-coding RNA (2374 nucleotides) under Sus scrofa (pig). RNAcentral describes it as "lncRNA (ENSSSCG00060020069.1)". Lineage: Eukaryota; Metazoa; Chordata; Mammalia; Artiodactyla; Suidae. The record is from RNAcentral.
GUGGGUGGGGCUCGCGAUUUGAGUCGGGACUAGCGGAUUCGCCGGAGGCUCUGGUCUCCCAGCAAGAGGACAAAUGUGCCGGGAUGUAUGCAGGCAAGCCAGAAGAGGAGAGUCCAGGACCAGUAAAUCAGGUCAGUAAAUGCACUAUUCUGUCAGGGGCCAAGUUACCACUGAAGAGGUAAGACAAGUGAUGGUUGAGGAUCAUAAAUGUGAUUCAAGGACAGCAGAAAUUACCAAGAAGAAAGGGAAAUGUCUGUCAGAUGUGGCACCAAUCUCUUAGUUUCCCCUUAGUAAUACUCCACUGAGAGUAGUUAGAGAAGCUAGUGGGCCAUUGAGAUGGCAGGGUGCCAGCAGCAUUUGGACCCACAGCUUCUGCAACAUUCAAUGCCAGGGCCUGCAGCUGUGGUGGGUGCAGCAGCCUCAGAGGAUGUGAAGUGGACCUCCCCAGAAGUAUCUAUCCUUUUCAGAGAACACCAGCAGAUUAACAGUCACUUUGGACAUUGGAAGCUGCAGCAAACACCUCAAUAUAAUAAGUUGACACAGGAGCAAAGGGAAUGAAUGGUCCAACCCAUGGAGCAGUCAGGGAAGCUGGUCAGGGAAAAGGCAGGGGAGACACCCCUAAGGGGUCCCCAGGCUAUCUGUGAGGAAUUAAAGGGGUCUGGACUUCCCAUACUGUUGUUAGAAACUAAGGAAAAAUACUACUAAUAAGAUAAAUGUCUGUGGUUGUCUUACAUCUUAGCUGGGUAUGUAGGAAUUUAGGUUAUAUGAAAAUUAUUUAGAAUUAAGCUUUCUUUCUUUUUUUCUUUUUCUUUCCUUUUUCUCCUGGUCACCCAUGGCAUAUAGAGUUCCCAGGUCAAGGGUAGGAUCUGACCUAUGCCACAGCUGCGGCAAUGCCAAAUCCUUUAACUCACUUGCCAGGCUGGGGAUUGAACCAUCCUAUUGUGCCACAGCAGGAACUCUAGAAGUAAGUUUUCUUAAGGAGUCACAAAACUUUUCUUUUUUGUUUUUUAGGGCUGCACCUGUGGCAUAUAGAGGUUCCCGGGCUAGGGGUUGAAUCAGAUCUGCAGCUGUUGGCCUACACCACAGCUGUAGCAAUGUGGAAUCAGAGCCACAUCUGUGACCUACGCCAUAGCUCAAGGCAACAUUGGAUCCUUAACCCACUGAGCGAGGCCAGGGAUUGAAUCUGCAUCCUCAUGGAUACUAGUAAGAUUCAUUUCUGCUGAGCCAUGAUGGGAAUUCCAACACAGGAUUAUUCCAACUCCCUCUCUUUCCCUCAGGGUUUGCUGACUUUACCUAUAAUGUCUUCUCAUGUUGCCUCACCCUAAAAGAAUUAGGACUAUCUAAGGCAGCAUUUAACUGGAAACCCAACUAAGGUUUGUGAGGCUGAACAAAUAAAGUUUUAUUUAAAUUUUUUUUUUAAUUUUGAUUUUUCUUUUUUCUUUAAAUUUUGUUCUGAGGUAUUUAUUUUUGAAUAUGCAAAAAUUUUAUUUAUUUAAAUAAUUUUUAUUUUUUCCAUUAUAGUUGGUUUACAGUGCUGAGUAAUCACUUUUCUACUGUACAGCAAAGUGACCCAGUCACACAUGCAUAUAUACAUUCAUUUUCUCACAUUACCCUCCAUUAUUCUCCAUCACAAGUGACUAGAUAUAGUUCCCAGAGCUACACAGCAGGAUCUCAUAGCUAAUCCAUUCUGAAUGCAAUACUUUAUAUCUAUUAACCCCAGAUUCCCAGUCCAUCCCACUCCCACCCCCUUCCCCUUGGUAAUCACAAGUCUGUUCUCCAAGUCCAUGAGUUUCUUUUCUGUGGAAAGGUUAUUUGUGCCAUAUAUUAGAUUCCAGAUGUGUGAUAUCAUAUGGUAUUUGUCUUUCUCUUUCUGACUUCACUUAGUAUGAGAGUCUAUAGUUGCAUCCAUGUUGCUGCAAAUGGCAUUAUUUUGUUCUUUUUUAUGGCUGUGAGGUAUUCCAUUGUGUAUAUAUACCAUAUCUUCUUAAUCAAUUCAUCUUGUCAGUGGACAUUGAGGUUGUUUCCAUGUCUUGGCUAUUAUGGAUGGUGCUGCAAUGAACAUAUGGGUGCAUGUGUCUAUUUCAAGGAAAGUUUUGUCUGGAUAUAUGCCCAUUAUAGUUGAUUUGCCAUAAUCCAUCAAUUUCUACUGUACAGCAAAGGUUUAUUUCUUACUUAACAGUAAAUCUGGAAUUGUCAUUCUUCUGACCUGGUUUCAAGAGCUCAGUGAAGAGAAACACAAUUGUAGAAAUCAAGUCUGUUUUUGAGACAGGAAGAAGGUAGAAAUGAGAAGGUGGGCCAAGGACUCAGCAGGAGGAUUUUAUGUUAUAUCAAGAAACAAAAGCUCCAGAAGGCUUCCAGUUAUGUUUCCUUGGCC